RNAcentral lists this long non-coding RNA (1310 nucleotides) under Cervus hanglu yarkandensis (Yarkand deer). Its description in RNAcentral is "lncRNA (ENSCHYG00000008808.1)". The record is from RNAcentral. Lineage: Eukaryota; Metazoa; Chordata; Mammalia; Artiodactyla; Cervidae.
AUGCUCAUGGAAAGAGCGGCUCGGAAGUCCGGGCCGAGCGAUGGGUCCUGGGACUCAGCGCUUCCUCCCUGCCCCGGGCCCUCCCACUGGACUGGAGUGCAGCUCCACGUGAGGGUGCUGAGCUGGCCAGCCCAUCCCACCCCGGCCCCCGCCCCACACCCAGCAGGACUGACUUCUGACGCACAGAUUCAGCCCUGGCUUAAAGCCUCUGUUCCCAGCCUCGGCCUGCCCUGGCCUCCUGUGCGGCCCCUCGGCCGACUCCCGCUGCAGCCCGCGAGGCUCCCUUCCACUCUCCUGACCCGGGGCCCUCGUGACGCCGCUCCUCCCGCGGGGAUGCCGGCCCGGUCUCUCCUUUCACCCUCACACAGCAACCGCUUCUGCGAGCGGCUGUCGCUGCAGCCUGCGGGGCGGGGCCCAUGCACCCACCUCGGUGUUGGGGCCACCCGCGCACCAGCUCAGGCCGUCUGCCCCACCGUGCUGUGCACCCCGUCGGGCCCUGUGACCCCUCUCUGCCCCGUCUGUGCCCAGGAGGGAGAAGGUCAGGCCACCUGGCCACCCUGGAGCCUGGACGAGAGCAGCAAUGAUGGUGUGGACGUGGAGGAUGCCAGCCCGCUCUGGCUCACCUUCCUGGCCCUCUUCCUCGUCACUGUGGUCUACGGCGGCUUCGUCACCUUCAUCAAGGUGAAGUAGCCCUGGAGAGAAGACACCAGGCUCCGCACAGACAGAACCUGGCCUCCACACCGCCUGCUGCUCCCAGAGGGCAGAGGAGCCCACGCUGGACCCCACCCUGCGGCCCCACCCUCUGUCCACCACAGAGCCCAGCCCCCAGCCCGAGGAGGACAUCAUGGUGCAGAGAGGGGGCCCCCGGAUGGCCCUGCAGCCCCAGAGCCGGUGGCCCUGGCUGCAGCCCCCUUGCCUCCCCACCCACCAUCCGCCACAUAAAGAGCUUUGAUCCUUCUUCCUGCCUCCUGUUUCUGUGCCCCAGCCCUCAGAUCUUGCAGGUGAGAGCACCCAGGAGGCCGAGGGCACACACCGAAGUGUGUCCACACACACAGGAGAGGUGGGCAGGGUCAGGCACGCAGCAGGGGGCUGCCUCCAGAAGAAGAUGCCGAGCCUACUGCUCCAAAGGGACUGGGCACACCAGACAUGUGCGUCCACACCUGCACACACGGGUGCACACACAUGCAGACACAUGCCCGUGGGCACACAUGCGGAGGUCUGCAUCCACACACACAUGCACACACAUGGAUUCACUCUCAUAGAGACAUGAAAGCACGUGUGCCCGUGUACCACUCAGGCGUGCGCACGCG